ACCCAAACAAAAUCACCCUCUCCUUCGUGUGCGUGUGUGUCUGUGUGUCUGUGUUCAUGCAGCGAAACCAACUUCCUCUCUGUCUGUGUGUUUGUGUAGAACUGGAUCACUCGGGGUCAGCCCAAAUCCUUCUGGAUCUCUGGACUAUUCUUCCCUCAGGGCUUCCUCACUGGGGCGCUACAGAACCACGCCAGGACCUAUAACCUCCCCAUCGACGAGCUCAACUUCCGUUUUAACGUGUUGCCGGUCUACCUAGACCAGGGGGCCGUGAGCGAGGCGCUGAAGACCCUACCGGCCGGGGGCGAGCUGGACAUGGACUCUGAGCUACCCACCAUCAACGACGGCGUGCUGGUGCACGGGAUGUUCAUGGACGCCAGUCGCUGGGACGGCGCCGACAUGGUGAUCGAGGACG
Long non-coding RNA from Oncorhynchus gorbuscha (pink salmon), 412 nucleotides. RefSeq lists it as uncharacterized. NCBI's taxonomy places the organism in Eukaryota, Metazoa, Chordata, Actinopteri, Salmoniformes, Salmonidae. The record is from RefSeq and is a predicted model, not a curated record. The transcript has 3 exons.